This 468-nucleotide ribosomal RNA is filed under the name uncultured bacterium. RNAcentral describes it as "partial 16S ribosomal RNA". It matches the Rfam family "Bacterial small subunit ribosomal RNA", at positions 28 to 507 of the family's 1533-position model. The record is from RNAcentral.
GACGAACGCUGGCGGCGCGCCUAACACAUGCAAGUCGAACGGAGUCAAGAGGAGCUUGCUUUUCUUGACUUAGUGGCGAACGGGUGAGUAACGCGUGAGUAACCUGCCCUGGAGUGGGGGACAACAGUUGGAAACGACUGCUAAUACCGCAUAAGCCCACGGAUCUGCAUGGAUCUGCGGGAAAAGGAUUUAUUCGCUCUAGGAUGGACUCGCGUCCAAUUAGCUAGUUGGUGAGGUAACGGCCCACCAAGGCGACGAUUGGUAGCCGGACUGAGAGGUUGAACGGCCACAUUGGGACUGAGACACGGCCCAGACUCCUACGGGAGGCAGCAGUGGGGGAUAUUGCACAAUGGGGGAAAACCUGAUGCAGCGACGCCGCGUGGAGGAAGAAGGUUUUCGGAUUGUAAACUCCUGUCGUUAGGGACGAUAAUGACGGUACCUAACAAGAAAGCACCGGCUAACUACGUG